This 582-nucleotide long non-coding RNA is filed under the name Gopherus agassizii (Agassiz's desert tortoise). RNAcentral's name for it is "lncRNA (ENSGAGG00000019165.1)". The record is from RNAcentral. Lineage: Eukaryota; Metazoa; Chordata; Testudines; Testudinidae.
UUCUGCUGUGUCUUAAGAGUGCAGAGGGUCAAGAUCCUGAAGCCAUUUUUUUUUUCACUUUCAGGUUGGAAAAAAGCAGUGAAGUCAAUUUCAUCUUCACCUUGAGAAAUACUGUGCAGAGCAUUGAGCAACAAACAUACUGUUCUCCCAGUGUGAAGGAGAUAGAGCUGAAGCAUGUCUAUCACUAUCAGCAUCCUCCACAUACACAAAAAAAAAGCCAGUUUUUUUCAAAUGAAACAUUAGUGCUGAGUCAGCAAUGAUUUAUAACUUUUGAUUUUUGAUGUGGGGGCUAUAAGCAUGGAAAGUUCUGUUAGAUCUCUGUUCAUAGUAUUGAUAACCAGGUUUUCAAGUUUGUAGACAUUAUAACCCAAGGCAGGUUUAACUUCUUAUAUGACUGAACUGCAUUUAUGGGGUUUCUCCAAGAAAGAGAAAUAACUGAGUUAAAUGACACCAUCAGUUCUUAUAAUCAGGAGAAGGCUGGGAGUAACGUGUGGUAAAAUUAAUGGAAAUUGCAGCAAAAUCAGCAAACUUGACACCUGCUGAUAUACAAAGUCUGGAAUAAAUUGUUACAUGCUAAUCUCA